This 253-nucleotide ribosomal RNA is filed under the name uncultured bacterium. Its description in RNAcentral is "partial 16S ribosomal RNA". It matches the Rfam family "Bacterial small subunit ribosomal RNA", at positions 524 to 776 of the family's 1533-position model. The record is from RNAcentral.
UACGACGGGAGCUAGCGUUGUUCGGAAUCACUGGGCGUAAAGCGCACGUAGGCGGAUGUGUCAGUCAGGGGUGAAAUCCUGGAGCUCAACUCCAGAACUGCCUUUGAUACUGGCGAUCUUGAGUCCGGGAGAGGUGAGUGGAACUGCGAGUGUAGAGGUGAAAUUCGUAGAUAUUCGCAAGAACACCAGUGGCGAAGGCGGCUCUCUGGGACGGUACUGACGCUGAGACGCGAAAGCGUGGGGAGCGAACAGG